Molecule: ribosomal RNA, 737 nt
Filed under: Septoriella chlamydospora
Lineage: Eukaryota; Fungi; Ascomycota; Dothideomycetes; Pleosporales; Phaeosphaeriaceae
Description: eukaryotic LSU rRNA
Rfam family: Eukaryotic large subunit ribosomal RNA
Source: RNAcentral
GCUUUGGCGUUGGCAGCGGUCCAAGUUCUUUGGAACAGGACGUCACAGAGGGUGAGAAUCCCGUACGUGGUCGCUAGCCUUCGCCGUGUAAAGCCCCUUCGACGAGUCGAGUUGUUUGGGAAUGCAGCUCUAAAUGGGAGGUAAAUUUCUUCUAAAGCUAAAUACUGGCCAGAGACCGAUAGCGCACAAGUAGAGUGAUCGAAAGAUGAAAAGCACUUUGGAAAGAGAGUCAAAUAGCACGUGAAAUUGUUGAAAGGGAAGCGCUUGCAGCCAGACUUGCCUGUAGUUGCUUAUCCGGACUUUUGUCCGGUGCACUCUUCUGCGGGCAGGCCAGCAUCAGUUUAGGCGGUUGGAUAAAGGUCUCUAUCACGUACCUCCCUUCGGGGUUGGCCUUAUAGGGGAGACGACAUGCAACCAGCCUGAACUGAGGUCCGCGCAUCUGCUAGGAUGCUGGCGUAAUGGCUGUAAGCGGCCCGUCUUGAAACACGGACCAAGGAGUCUAACAUCUAUGCGAGUGUUUGGGUGUCAAGCCCAGACGCGUAAUGAAAGUGAACGGAGGUGGGAACCUUUUAGGUGCACCAUCGACCGAUCCUGAUGUCUUCGGAUGGAUUUGAGUAAGAGCAUGGCUGUUGGGACCCGAAAGAUGGUGAACUAUGCUUGAAUAGGGUGAAGCCAGAGGAAACUCUGGUGGAGGCUCGCAGCGGUUCUGACGUGCAAAUCGAUCGUCAAAUUUGGGC